This 468-nucleotide ribosomal RNA is filed under the name uncultured bacterium. RNAcentral's name for it is "partial 16S ribosomal RNA". It matches the Rfam family "Bacterial small subunit ribosomal RNA", at positions 28 to 507 of the family's 1533-position model. The record is from RNAcentral.
GACGAACGCUGGCGGCGUGCUUAACACAUGCAAGUCGAACGGAAAGGCCCUGCUUUUGUAGAGUGCUCGAGUGGCGAACGGGUGAGUAACACGUGAGUAACCUGCCCUUGACUUUGGGAUAACUUCAGGAAACUGGGGCUAAUACCGGAUAGGAGCUCCUGCUGCAUGGUGGGGGUUGGAAAGUUUCGGCGGUUGGGGAUGGACUCGCGGCUUAUCAGCUUGUUGGCGGGGUAGUGGCUUACCAAGGCUUUGACGGGUAGCCGGCCUGAGAGGGUGACCGGCCACAUUGGGACUGAGAUACGGCCCAGACUCCUACGGGAGGCAGCAGUGGGGAAUAUUGCACAAUGGGCGGAAGCCUGAUGCAGCAACGCCGCGUGCGGGAUGACGGCCUUCGGGUUGUAAACCGCUUUCGCCUGUGACGAAGCGUGAGUGACGGUAAUGGGUAAAGAAGCACCGGCUAACUACGUG